UGCAGUCGAGCGGCAGCACGGGGAGCUUGCUCCCUGGUGGCGAGCGGCGGACGGGUGAGUAAUGCAUAGGAAUCUGCCCGGUAGUGGGGGAUAACGUGGGGAAACCCACGCUAAUACCGCAUACGUCCUACGGGAGAAAGCGGAGGAUCUUCGGACUUCGCGCUAUCGGAUGAGCCUAUGUCGGAUUAGCUAGUUGGUAAGGUAACGGCUUACCAAGGCAACGAUCCGUAGCUGGUCUGAGAGGAUGAUCAGCCACACUGGGACUGAGACACGGCCCAGACUCCUACGGGAGGCAGCAGUGGGGAAUAUUGGACAAUGGGCGAAAGCCUGAUCCAGCCAUGCCGCGUGUGUGAAGAAGGCUUUCGGGUUGUAAAGCACUUUCAGCGAGGAAGAAAGCCUCUGGGUUAAUACCCCAGAGGAAGGACAUCACUCGCAGAAGAAGCACCGGCUAACUCCGUGCCAGCAGCCGCGGUAAUACGGAGGGUGCGAGCGUUAAUCGGAAUUACUGGGCGUAAAGCGCGCGUAGGUGGCUUGGCACGCCGGUUGUGAAAGCCCCGGGCUCAACCUGGGAACUGCAUCCGGAACGGCCAGGCUAGAGUGCAGGAGAGGAAGGUAGAAUUCCCGGUGUAGCGGUGAAAUGCGUAGAGAUCGGGAGGAAUACCAGUGGCGAAGGCGGCCUUCUGGCCUGACACUGACACUGAGGUGCGAAAGCGUGGGUAGCAAACAGGAUUAGAUACCCUGGUAGUCCACGCCGUAAACGAUGUCGACUAGCCGUUGGGACCUUUAAGGACUUAGUGGCGCAGUUAACGCGAUAAGUCGACCGCCUGGGGAGUACGGCCGCAAGGUUAAAACUCAAAUGAAUUGACGGGGGCCCGCACAAGCGGUGGAGCAUGUGGUUUAAUUCGAUGCAACGCGAAGAACCUUAC
Molecule: ribosomal RNA, 926 nt
Filed under: uncultured bacterium
Lineage: Bacteria
Description: bacterial SSU rRNA
Rfam family: Bacterial small subunit ribosomal RNA
Source: RNAcentral